This 514-nucleotide long non-coding RNA is filed under the name Androctonus crassicauda. Lineage: Eukaryota; Metazoa; Arthropoda; Arachnida; Scorpiones; Buthidae. The record is from RNAcentral.
CUAGGAUGAUGUAAGCUGGGGUUAAAUAGGUGGAACUGCUCACAGGCCAUCAUUACUGGUCCUGGAGAGCACAACCAUAAAAUUAAAAUCAAAAACUAAAACAUUAAAAUCAAAAUUAAAGUUCUAAUAUUUAAAACUUACGAAGUAUGGUUCUGGUUGUACAACCACUACAUCAAAAUAAAGGCAGCACUAAGAGGCUGUCACAUUUAGGAGAUACUUUCAUAGCACUGGCAACUCUUGCACUGGGUGACUAUUCAAGAGAGGUUUUCUUUCAUCCCAUUAGUGUAAAUCUCCAUUGCUUCAGUUAGGAGCAUGUGCUUCUCUUUUCUCAAGGGUUUUACUACUACUGCUUCAUGCCAAUUAACCUAUAUAUUUCUCUUAUACACGGACAUUGCCAAAGCUAGAAUUGCUAUUGGCAAGAUCUUUUUUUAUACUCUUUCAACCUUUGUUCUAGCACCCUAUUUGUCACCCCUAUGUAAGCUUCUCUUCUACAUGCUUCAUUAUUUGUCAUCGG